UACGUAGGGUGCAAGCGUUAAUCGGAAUUACUGGGCGUAAAGCGUGCGCAGGCGGUGAUGUAAGACCGAUGUGAAAUCCCCGGGCUUAACCUGGGAACUGCAUUGGUGACUGCAUUGCUAGAGUAUGGCAGAGGGGGGUGGAAUUCCACGUGUAGCAGUGAAAUGCGUAGAGAUGUGGAGGAACACCGAUGACGAAGGCAGCCCCCUGGGCCAAUACUGACGCUCAUGCACGAAAGCGUGGGGAGCAAACAGG
RNAcentral lists this ribosomal RNA (253 nucleotides) under uncultured bacterium. RNAcentral's name for it is "partial 16S ribosomal RNA". It matches the Rfam family "Bacterial small subunit ribosomal RNA", at positions 524 to 776 of the family's 1533-position model. The record is from RNAcentral.